Molecule: ribosomal RNA, 516 nt
Filed under: uncultured bacterium
Lineage: Bacteria
Description: partial 16S ribosomal RNA
Rfam family: Bacterial small subunit ribosomal RNA
Source: RNAcentral
GACGAACGCUGGCAGCAUGCCUAAUACAUGCAAGUCGAGCGGAGUUGAUGGAAAGCUUGCUUUCCUGAUACUUAGCGGCGGACGGGUGAGUAACACGUAGGCAACCUGCCCUCAAGCUUGGGACAACUACCGGAAACGGUAGCUAAUACCGAAUACUUGUUUUCUUCGCCUGAAGAGAACUGGAAAGACGGAGCAAUCUGUCACUUGGGGAUGGGCCUGCGGCGCAUUAGCUAGUUGGUGAGGUAACGGCUCACCAAGGCGACGAUGCGUAGCCGACCUGAGAGGGUGAUCGGCCACACUGGGACUGAGACACGGCCCAGACUCCUACGGGAGGCAGCAGUAGGGAAUCUUCCGCAAUGGGCGAAAGCCUGACGGAGCAAUGCCGCGUGAGUGAUGAAGGUUUUCGGAUCGUAAAGCUCUGUUGCCAGGGAAGAACGCUUGGGAGAGUAACUGCUCCCAAGGUGACGGUACCUGAGAAGAAAGCCCCGGCUAACUACGUGCCAGCCGCCGCGGUAA